GGGCCCGUGGCCUAGCAGGAUAGGGCACCGGACUUCUAAUCCGGGGAUCGGGGGUUCGAAUCCCCCCGGGUCCG
Molecule: transfer RNA, 74 nt
Filed under: Candidatus Altarchaeales archaeon ex4484_43
Lineage: Archaea; Nanobdellati; Candidatus Altarchaeota; Candidatus Altarchaeia; Candidatus Altarchaeales
Also listed under: 1 other name
Description: Candidatus Altiarchaeales archaeon ex4484_43 tRNA-Arg
Rfam family: tRNA
About the family: Transfer RNA (tRNA) molecules are approximately 80 nucleotides in length.
Source: RNAcentral